This is a long non-coding RNA of Phasianus colchicus (ring-necked pheasant), 1640 nucleotides long. The record is from Ensembl. NCBI's taxonomy places the organism in Eukaryota, Metazoa, Chordata, Aves, Galliformes, Phasianidae.
UAUAUUAGCUGAUGUGAAAUAUUUGCGGUGCUGAGAACCUCAGCAAACUAAUAUCUUGAAACAAGUAGCACCCUAUGGUAGCUAUACUCUCUCUUGGCUGUUCAGCCAGCUCAGGCAUGUCUGCACAGGAUUGCUUUGUGGUUUCAGUUUUGCAGUGAGACCAGCAAAUGCGUUUGCUGAUAAGUUAUGCUUGACAUCUCUGUGUGAGCUUGCCGAACUAUUGCCAGUGAAAUCUUUCUCUCACAGAAUGUAGCAGAAUCCAGCCAUCAAACUCAUCUGGGACUCAUUUCUUCCUUUUUCUUCUCAUCUCAAGUGGAGUAUGCUUAAUUCCCUUUUGGAGCAGCAAAAAUGGCAUGGAAAGAGGGAUGAGAAGUUGAGUUGAGUGAGCUAGGUGAAGCCCAGAUCCUACUACUGUGAUGUGCUGAUGGAUGGGAGUCUGCAUGACAUGAAAUGCAAUGAGAUGCAUACAGAAUUGAACUGUUGUUAAGCCCAUGGUCUGCUUAGACUGGACAGGUCAAACACCAACUGGAACAGAAAAGUGAACCCUUGUGCAAUGAGUAACAAAAAUAGAGGGAACACGAGGUAAAGUUACAAGGUGAAGAAUUAGUGCCAGUGUUACCAAGCAACGCACAGGUGACAAAUUAUGACCUAUGUUUAUGGACAGCAUACACCAACCUCACCCCUGCAGGGUGGAAGCCAGCAUCUUUGUGACCUUGCCACCUCACAGUCUGUGAUUAUAUCACCAGCUGGGACGCGAGAGCCAGAUAAUAACUUUUUUCCAUUCACAGGGAGUGUGUGAAUCUCCUUGAGGAACAGAAUGCCUGAAAUCAUUGGAUUCCAGGAUAGCUCAGCCUAUGACAGACUCAAACAUAUGAUUGCAGCUCUUAAAGUGUAACGAGACCCAACUGUACAGUGAAACAUUUCCAGACAUACGUAUGUGAUACAGGAAGAAUCAGGUGCAAAAAUUUCUCUGUUGUCUGGCCAUAAACUGCAACAAAUAUUCUCUGUAAAAUGUAAAAAUCCAGUGAACUCUCUAACACAAACCUUUAUUUAUGUUUGCACCCACCACACUUCUCUUUAGAGUUUAAGUAUCUUCAGAGUAAAAGUUGUGAGUUUUGGGUUGGUUUGGAUUUGUUGGUUGUUUUUUUUGUUUGUUUGUUUUUUGUUUUUUUGCUGUUUUGUUUUGCUUUGUUUUUAAUAAUACAUGCACAGAAGAAGGGACUUGAAUCCUCCUGUUCAGGAAGAAAAAAAAGAAUUUUCAUGCCUGUUAAUAUAUGAAUGUAUACAUAAAUCCAGAGUUGUACCGGACUUUCAAUAGCAUUAUGUUCAGCUGAGUGGCACCAUCAUAAGAGAGCUCCACGUUCACCAAGGGCUUGCGGAAGAGAGAGGACAGCAAGGAGAAGGCACAACAGGUACUAGGACAUGACAGUCAUUUGAAAAAGCAGGUAACAUUGAAAAAGCGUUGGACAAUAAGAGAUUCAGAGUAACUGACCAUAAUUUCAAUAGCCAGUUCAGCUGAAUGGGACUAAAUCCACCCACCAUGCUGUAUGCAUAUGAUAGGUAGGUACUGCCCUCUCUUUGUAUCUUAUCUCCUAAGAACACUAUGCUGAAGUAAUAAAAUAGUUCAGCAGUUGGAGACA